CAGUAGCCACGGGAAUACAGAGGUCCCGAGCGUUGUUCGGAUUCACUGGGCGUAAAGGGUGUGUAGGGGGUUGGAUAAGUCAGGUGUGAAAUCCCGCAGCUCAACUGCGGAACUGCAUUCGAUACUGUUCAACUAGAGGAUCGGAGGGGGAAGCGGAAUUCUUGGUGUAGCGGUGAAAUGCGUAGAUAUCAAGAGGAACACCGGUGGCGAAGGCGGCUUCCUGGAAGAUACCUGACUCUGAAACACGAAAGCCAGGGGAGCGAAUGGGAUUAGAUACCCCGGUAGUCCCUGUCUCUUAUAC
RNAcentral lists this ribosomal RNA (301 nucleotides) under uncultured bacterium. RNAcentral describes it as "partial 16S ribosomal RNA". It matches the Rfam family "Bacterial small subunit ribosomal RNA", at positions 509 to 807 of the family's 1533-position model. The record is from RNAcentral.